GACGAACGCUGGCGGCGCGCCUAACACAUGCAAGUCGAACGAGAGAGAGGAAGCUUGCUUCUUCAAUCGAGUGGCGAACGGGUGAGUAACGCGUGAGGAACCUGCCUCAAAGAGGGGGACAACAGUUGGAAACGACUGCUAAUAUCGCAUAAGCCCACAGCUCGGCAUCGAGCAGAGGGAAAAGGAGCAAUCCGCUUUGAGAUGGCCUCGCGUCCGAUUAGCUAGUUGGUGAGGUAAUGGCCCACCAAGGCGUCGAUCGGUAGCCGGACUGAGAGGUUGAACGGCCACAUUGGGACUGAGACACGGCCCAGACUCCUACGGGAGGCAGCAGUGGGGAAUAUUGCACAAUGGGGGAAACCCUGAUGCAGCGACGCCGCGUGGAGGAAGAAGGUCUUCGGAUUGUAAACUCCUGUUGUUGAGGAAGAUAAUGACGGUACUCAACAAGGAAGUGACGGCUAACUACGUGCCAGCAGCCGCGGUAAAACGUAGGUCACAAGCGUUGUCCGGAAUUACUGGGUGUAAAGGGAGCGCAGGCGGGAAGACAAGUUGGAAGUGAAAUCUAUGGGCUCAACCCAUAAACUGCUUUCAAAACUGUUUUUCUUGAGUAGUGCAGAGGUAGGCGGAAUUCCCGGUGUAGCGGUGGAAUGCGUAGAUAUCGGGAGGAACACCAGUGGCGAAGGCGGCCUACUGGGCACCAACUGACGCUGAGGCUCGAAAGUGUGGGUAGCAAACAGGAUUAGAUACCCUGGUAGUCCACACCGUAAACGAUGAUUACUAGGUGUUGGAGGAUUGACCCCUUCAGUGCCGCAGUUAACACAAUAAGUAAUCCACCUGGGGAGUACGACCGCAAGGUUGAACUCAAAGGAAUUGACGGGGGCCCGCACAAGCAGUGGAGUAUGUGGUUUAAUUCGACGCAACGCGAAGAACCUUACCAAGUCUUGACAUCCUGCGACGAUGCUGGAAACAGUAUUUUCCUUCGGGACGCAGAGACAGGUGGUGCAUGGUUGUCGUCAGCUCGUGUCGUGAGAUGUUGGGUUAAGUCCCGCAACGAGCGCAACCCUUACUGUCAGUUACUACGCAAGAGGACUCUGGCAGGACUGCCGUUGACAAAACGGAGGAAGGUGGGGAUGACGUCAAAUCAUCAUGCCCUUUAUGACUUGGGCUACACACGUACUACAAUGGCGUUAAACAAAGAGAAGCAAGACCGCGAGGUGGAGCAAAACUCAGAAACAACGUCCCAGUUCGGACUGCAGGCUGCAACUCGCCUGCACGAAGUCGGAAUUGCUAGUAAUCGUGGAUCAGCAUGCCACGGUGAAUACGUUCCCGGGCCUUGCACAAACCGCCCGUC
RNAcentral lists this ribosomal RNA (1348 nucleotides) under uncultured bacterium. RNAcentral describes it as "bacterial SSU rRNA". It matches the Rfam family "Bacterial small subunit ribosomal RNA", at positions 28 to 1398 of the family's 1533-position model. The record is from RNAcentral.